AUUGAUUUUAUGCUUGCAUAAAUGAUUUUUAGAUUCGGAGCGAGUGGCGAACUGGCGAGUAACACGUGGGUAACCUGCCCCGAAGCGGGGGAUAACAUUUGGAAACAAAUGCUAAUACCGCAUAAUUAGUUGGAACCGCAUGGUUCCAACUUGAAAGAUGGCUCUGCUAUCACUUUGGGAUGGACCCGCGCCGUAUUAGUUAGUUGGUGAGAUAAAAGCCCACCAAGACGAUGAUACGUAGCCGACCUGAGAGGGUAAUCGGCCACAUUGGGACUGAGACACGGCCCAGACUCCUACGGGAGGCAGCAGUAGGGAAUCUUCCACAAUGGACGAAAGUCUGAUGGAGCAACGCCGCGUGAGUGAUGAAGGUUUUCGGAUCGUAAAACUCUGUUGUUAAAGAAGAACAAGUGUUAGAGUAACUGUUAACACUUUGACGGUAUUUAACCAGAAAGCCACGGCUAACUACGUGCCAGCAGCCGCGGUAAUACGUAGGUGGCAAGCGUUGUCCGGACUUAUUGGGCGUAAAGCGAGCGCAGGCGGUUUUGUAAGUCUGCUGCGAAAGCCCUCAGCUCAACUGAGGAAGUGCAGUGGAAACUACAAAACUUGAGUACAGAAGAGGAAAGUGGAACUCCAUGUGUAGCGGUGAAAUGCGUAGAUAUAUGGAAGAACACCAGUGGCGAAGGCGGCUUUCUGGUCUGUUACUGACGCUGAGGCUCGAAAGCAUGGGUAGCGAACAGGAUUAGAUACCCUGGUAGUCCAUGCCGUAAACGAUGAAUACUAGGUGUUGGAGGGUUUCCGCCCUUCAGUGCCGCAGCUAACGCAUUAAGUAUUCCGCCUGGGGAGUACGACCGCAAGGUUGAAACUCAAAGGAAUUGACGGGGGCCCGCACAAGUGGUGGAGCAUGUGGUUUAAUUCGAUGCUACGCGAAGAACCUUACCAGCUCUUGACAUCUUCUGCCAACCCAAGAGAUUGGGCGUUCCCUUCGGGGACAGAAUGACAGGUGGUGCAUGGUUGUCGUCAGCUCGUGUCGUGAGAUGUUGGGUUAAGUCCCGCAACGAGCGCAACCCUUAUUAUUAGUUGCCAGCAUUUAGUUGGGCACUCUAGUGAGACUGCCGGUGAUAAA
This 1123-nucleotide ribosomal RNA is filed under the name uncultured bacterium. RNAcentral describes it as "bacterial SSU rRNA". It matches the Rfam family "Bacterial small subunit ribosomal RNA", at positions 47 to 1162 of the family's 1533-position model. The record is from RNAcentral.